RNAcentral lists this ribosomal RNA (481 nucleotides) under uncultured bacterium. RNAcentral describes it as "partial 16S ribosomal RNA". It matches the Rfam family "Bacterial small subunit ribosomal RNA", at positions 28 to 523 of the family's 1533-position model. The record is from RNAcentral.
GAUGAACGCUGGCGGCGUGCCUAAUACAUGCAAGUCGAGCGAACCAUUUCGGUGGUGAGCGGCGAACGGGUGAGUAACACGUAGGUAAUCUGCCCAUUAGACGGGGACAACGACAGGAAACGGUCGCUAAUACCGGAUAGACGAAAGUUUAAAGAUGCUUCGGCAUCACUAAUGGAUGAGCCUGCGGCGCAUUAGCUAGUUGGAGGGGUAAGAGCUCCCCAAGGCGACGAUGCGUAGCCGACCUGAGAGGGUGAACGGCCACACUGGGACUGAGACACGGCCAAGACUCCUACGGGAGGCAGCAGUAGGGAAUCUUCGGCAAUGGAAGAAAGUCUGACCGAGCAACGCCGCGUGAAUGAAGAAGGCCUUCGGGUUGUAAAAUUCUGUUAUAAGGGAAGAAAGACACGAGUAGGAAAUGGCUCGUGAGUGACGGUACCUUAUGAGAAAGCCACGGCUAACUACGUGCCAGCCGCCGCAGUAA